GCAAGUCGAACGAGAUCUUCGGAUCUAGUGGCGCACGGGUGAGUAACGCGUGGAAACCUACCAUUCUGUACGGAAUAACGAUUGGAAACGAUCGCUAAUACCGUAUACGCCCUGUGGGGGAAAGGUCCGCCGCAGAAUGAGGGGUCCGCGUCCGAUUAGCUAGUUGGUAAGGUAAUGGCUUACCAAGGCGACGAUCGGUAGCUGGUCUGAGAGGAUGAUCAGCCACACUGGGACUGAGACACGGCCCAGACUCCUACGGGAGGCAGCAGUGGGGAAUAUUGGACAAUGGGGGCAACCCUGAUCCAGCAAUGCCGCGUGUGUGAUGAAGGCCUUAGGGUUGUAAAACACUUUCAAUGGUGAAGAUGAUGACGGUAACCAUAGAAGAAGCCCCGGCUAACUUCGUG
This 404-nucleotide ribosomal RNA is filed under the name uncultured bacterium. RNAcentral's name for it is "bacterial SSU rRNA". It matches the Rfam family "Bacterial small subunit ribosomal RNA", at positions 57 to 507 of the family's 1533-position model. The record is from RNAcentral.